RNAcentral lists this non-coding RNA (45 nucleotides) under Schistosoma curassoni. The record is from RNAcentral. Lineage: Eukaryota; Metazoa; Platyhelminthes; Trematoda; Strigeidida; Schistosomatidae.
AUAUAACUGAUGAGUCCGAAAUAGGACGAAACGCGCGUCUUGGAU